Molecule: long non-coding RNA, 400 nt
Filed under: Homo sapiens (human)
Lineage: Eukaryota; Metazoa; Chordata; Mammalia; Primates; Hominidae
Description: HSALNT0228815
Source: RNAcentral
UUAUCAUCCGCUGAGGGUGGAAGCGGCCCCCGCAGACGCUCCCCGCAGACGCUCGGCAGGUGUCUUGAUAUUAUCAUCUGCUGAGGGUGGAGCUGAGGGGUGGAAGGGGAGUGAGCUGACGCUCGGAAGGUGUCUUGAGAUUAUCAUCCGCUGAGGGUGGAAGGGGAGUGAGCAGACACUCAGGAGGUGUCUUGAGAUUAUCAUCCGCUGAGGGUGGAAGGGGAGUGAGCACACACUCGGGAGGUGUCUUGAGAUUAUCAUCCGCUGAGGGUGGAAGGGGAGUGAGCAGACACUCGGGAGGUGUCUUGAGGCUCAGGGAGUUAUCAGUUAUAGAAUGUUGUUGAGUUGGAGGAGGUGGCUGGUGGCCCAUCCUGUUUUUUAAAGUUUCAGCUGUGAGGUA